GAGCAGCUGCGAGAUUACACGAUGCAGAUGAGAGAUUACGUUGAUUCAGCAGAUUGUCCUGUGCGUGUCUGAGAAAGAUCCCAGCCGCGGAGUUAAGGCUCCCCAUCCGCUGUGGUGCCGUUUUAGAAGAAUAGCCUCUGAUCAAGAAUAAGAAUUGUUGUUGGAAUAAUAUGCGAACAGAUCAUGAAGAACUCUGUGGCACCAGUUAUGGAUCUUUUUGUCUAAAUGGAGGGAUUUGUUAUAUGAUUCCUACUGUAUCCAGUCCAUUCUGCAGGUGUAUUGAGAAUUACACAGGAGCCCGCUGUGAGGAAGUAUUGCUGCCCAGCAUCAAGUCCCAAACAAAAGGUGACCUGUUUGCAGUUUUAUUGGCUUCACUUCUUCUUCUAGGAGUUCUUGUAAUUGGAGCAUUCUACUUCCUUUGCAGGAAAGCUUCCAUCCCAAGGACGAGUUCUUCAGAGUGUGGUGCCAACCUGGUUGAGACUACAACCAGCAAUGGCUGCAACAAAAUAAUAACUGAGUAAAGCAUUAGAGUGGAACAAUGGUGGGAAAACAUCAUGCAGAGGAACCCUAAGAAUACAGCAGUGAUAGAGGCUGAUGUGGAUUCUCUUCCUCAAACAAAUAGAGGCCAAAUGACAUGGUCUGUCUCUCUUUCUGCCUUGACAACACAACCAGACUGUCUUGUUAGUCAGAG
Molecule: RNA transcript, 691 nt
Organism: Calidris pugnax (ruff)
Lineage: Eukaryota; Metazoa; Chordata; Aves; Charadriiformes; Scolopacidae
Gene: NRG4
Gene name: neuregulin 4
Exons: 7
Source: RefSeq, a predicted model, not a curated record